This 676-nucleotide long non-coding RNA is filed under the name Olea europaea (common olive). Its description in RNAcentral is "long non-coding RNA (OEUR_LNC005130)". Lineage: Eukaryota; Viridiplantae; Streptophyta; Magnoliopsida; Lamiales; Oleaceae. The record is from RNAcentral.
UGUAACGAAGUACGUAGUUUAUUAUUUAAAAAAAAUUAAAAAAUCGUAGUUAAAUUAAGUCACCAUUGAAUCAGAAUCUUGAGUCCGCCACUUAUUAGCAAAUAACGUGUAAGACGUGAAAAUUGCUCCAAGUGUGUGUGAUCUUCAAAUAUAAGCCUCAAUACAUUUUAUACAGAGCAUUUUGUUCAUAGAAAAAUGUAAAUCGAUACAAACAAAAAUAGUGGGAAAAAGAAUCACAAAACACGCUUUAGUUUAAGAUAUUAGCCAGAAAAAAUCUUUUUACAUUAGAGGAAAAGAAUAUAAAAAUCAAACCAUCAAGUCAGUAUCAAGAUUUACAUUGAUCAGAUGUGAUGCUUCAGAUUGUUAGUAGCUCUAGCAGUUAGAUAAUCUCGACUUUUCGACACUUGUGAUGCUUUGUCUUCCAUUACUCUGGUCACAGACAAAUACAUGAAAUCACACGUGAAGUACUUGUAUAUGAGAGUAAUGGCGAACAUCUGAACCCUUUCGACCUUUCAGACAUCAGCAGGAACAAAUUUGGAAUCCUAUCUUUAAAUCAAACUUCAUCCUUCAUGAAUCAAGAUCCUUGGCUAUCAAAGCAAUCCUCUGCUUAGCACUGUCCGACCGGAGAUUGUCUCCUUUAAAUCCCAGCUAAAGUUAAAACAAUCAAAACAUCGUU